Long non-coding RNA from Petromyzon marinus (sea lamprey), 478 nucleotides. RefSeq lists it as uncharacterized. Lineage: Eukaryota; Metazoa; Chordata; Hyperoartia; Petromyzontiformes; Petromyzontidae. The record is from RefSeq and is a predicted model, not a curated record.
GCGUGGCCACGAGGGGCCGCAGGCGUCGCGGGGAGGCGGCGGCGGGCGCCCCGUGCGACCGGCCGCGUGACCUCGGGCCCACGGAUGGCGCCACCACCACCACCACCACCACCACCGGCACCACCGCCACCACCACUGCAACCGCUACCAGCGCCGAUUUUACUGUUAUCCAGGCGAUGUCCGGCUAAGAGAUACUGAUCAGAAUCAUGGACAUUUACAAAGACAAUGGAACAAAGACUGAAAAAAGCAGACUGUUCAGCGAUCAUCUUGACGCUGGGGACUGGCAAGAGGCCCUCUGAGACCACAGCAACUGACCGGAAGAGAAUGGAUACACAUGGGAAAGCUGGGAAUAUUGAUGACAACAAGUUGAGGAAAACCAGAUUUCUGCUUCACAACUGAAACAGCGUCAUCCCCCCACCCCACUUCCCAGCCCCUCUUCCCCUUCCUCCCUGUUAUGGGCUCUGUUCAUACUUCGGCU